GAGAGGUUUGAAAUUGGAAGUUGCAAGGGUUGAGAAUUGGGGAGCGAGCUUGACGGAGACGCCGGAGAAAGAUGUUCGGAGAAGAGAGUGAGAAGAGAGAGGUGAAGGUGAGACGAGAGUUUGUGAAGCCAUUGCUAGUUGCAGAGUGAGAUAGAUAGAGUUCGAGGUGUUUGUGAUAAUGCAACAGAGAAUGUGUGAAAUAAAAUUGUAUUAUCAUACAAUUUUAGUUUCUACCCCUUUCUCUACACACUUCUCUCUAGUUUUGUUUUUUCUU
This 274-nucleotide long non-coding RNA is filed under the name Lathyrus oleraceus (garden pea). RNAcentral describes it as "Pisum sativum (pea) long non-coding RNA (PSAT_LNC031092)". Lineage: Eukaryota; Viridiplantae; Streptophyta; Magnoliopsida; Fabales; Fabaceae. The record is from RNAcentral.